UAUUUAGCAACGAAUACACAAAUAAGCUUAAAAUGCAUUUUUGCCAUAUAUUGAUGGGCGUAUGUAGCUGGGUAGAAGAAUCCCUUAAUCUCCCACUGAACUGCUGCCACAUUUGCAAGGGAACGUGGCAGCUCGCCAGGAGGCCUAGGCUGCUCCAUGCUCUGCAUGGUGCUGUGCUCCCCUGCCACACGGGGUGGGCGAGCGGAUGCAGCCCAGGGCAGAGGCUGCUGCCUGCCUCCAGCAGGGUCUUAAGUGUAAUUCUAGCAGAAGAUAACAAGACUUCUGCUCAUGUCAGAGGUGGUUUUUGGAUGCUGCUGGUGGUAUGCCCGAUCUGAGGGGACAGCUGAUUCAGCCACUAUGCAGUGCUGCUGGCCUGUUACAUCUGAGCAGCUCUCUGGAGCCUAGACAAGGUAAGAAGAAGAAGGGAGACGGAGCACCUGGAGCCCGGAUGCUGCUGCCUGCACAUCUUGCUAGCUGGGGGAAAGUGGUGGAUGAGGCUGUGUCAUCUGAGGAAACGUGCCCUGCUCAUAACAACAGGGGAGAGUAAUGGGAAUUCUCCACUUCCAAAAGCUCUGCAAGUUUUUAUUGAACCUCUAUGAAGUGCUUUCUGAGGGACAGGUAGCAGGGUCAGAUCCAUAACUGCUAUAUGCCUAUCCCACUCCAAGAAAGUUGGUUUACACCAGCUGAGGGUCUAACUGGAGAUGAUCCACUGGUGCCAAGUGGGAAUGGGAGACAGACACCCAAAACAAGUGUGGGAAGUGAGCAAUCCAACACGGUUUAUGACAAGUAAUAGAAAGCGAGAGUGGAGCCUGGAUUAAAAUAGACACGAGGGUGGAAGCCAGCAGCACUCAACUGCCUUGGAUGAGGUGAGCUAAGGCAAAUUUCUGUUUUGAAAUUCUGUUUUGAGAGAGACCCUAAUGGGUGAUGCUGAGGGCCUAGUGCUCCUUACCAUGCUCAUGUCAACACUGCCAUUCUACCCUUUCCCUGAGGUCAGGGCUGGCUUUUAGGGCCUAUGGCCUUGAAGAAGCCCUGUAGCAUGCAGUUUUUCAUGUGAGGCAGUUUUUCAUCUCAAGUGUUGGUGGAGGUCCAAGGGCCACUGGGACUGGUUCUCCCCAUUCACUGGAAAUGCCAUGUUCUUCCCCCUGCUGGGCCUCCAGGUAGCGUCCCACACCAAAGGUAAUGGUAGAAGAAAACUGCUUCAAGGCAUCAAGGUGACUUUUCCUCUGACAGAUUAAGACAAAGAAAAGUGUAUGAAAAUAAUUGAUGGGAUGUAGCGAACGGAGUUGGCAUCAUUUACAUACUGAAGUGACAGCAUGCGCCAUUCACAGGCCCUUUCCACUAUAAAUAAUGUUUUAUAGUGACAUAAA
Long non-coding RNA from Cygnus olor (mute swan), 1367 nucleotides. RefSeq lists it as uncharacterized. The transcript is spliced from 3 exons. NCBI's taxonomy places the organism in Eukaryota, Metazoa, Chordata, Aves, Anseriformes, Anatidae. The record is from RefSeq and is a predicted model, not a curated record.